Molecule: ribosomal RNA, 416 nt
Filed under: uncultured bacterium
Lineage: Bacteria
Description: bacterial SSU rRNA
Rfam family: Bacterial small subunit ribosomal RNA
Source: RNAcentral
UCGGGAAUAUUGCGCAAUGGAGGAAACUCUGACGCAGUGACGCCGCGUGCAGGAAGAAGGUUUUCGGAUUGUAAACUGCUUUAGACAGGGAAGAUGAUGACAGUACCUGUAGAAUAAGCUCCGGCUAACUACGUGCCAGCAGCCGCGGUAAUACGUAGGGAGCAAGCGUUAUCCGGAUUUAUUGGGUGUAAAGGGUGCGUAGACGGGAAGGCAAGUUGGUUGUGAAAUCCCUCGGCUUAACUGAGGAACUGCAACCAAAAUCUAUCUUUCUUGAGUGCUGGAGAGGAAAGUGGAAUUCCUAGUGUAGCGGUGAAAUGCGUAGAUAUUAGGAGGAACACCAGUGGCGAAGGCGACUUUCUGGACAGUAACUGACGUUGAGGCACGAAAGUGUGGGGUAGCAAACAGGAUUAGAUACC